AUAUUCCUUAAUCUGAAAUUAUCAAUCUUUUACUGUGAAGAAACUUAGAGUAGUUCAAAAGCAAAAACAUCUUAUGUUCUAUUAGAAAAAUUCAGCAUGGGAUAAUAAAAUAAGCUCAUACCAAACGUAAUCCUAUUCCGAUUUUCGGAUUGUUGUUGCACAACAAUGCGUUUUAGCUAGAGAAUGAUUGAUAGGGGCGGUCGAGGGCACUCGUACCCAGAGGUCAGAGGUGAAAUUCUUGGAUUCUCGGGAGACGAACUUAUGCGAAGGCGUUUGCCAAGGACGCUUUCUUUGAUCAAGAACGAAAGUUAGGGGAUCGAAGACGAUCAGAUACCGUCGUAGUCUUAACCUUAAACGAUGCCGACUGUAGAUUAGAAGACGUUAAUCAAAGGAAAGUUCUUUGCUUUCCUCUAAACUGACUCCUCUAGCAUACUGUGAGAAAUCACAAGUGUUUGGGUUCCGGGGG
Molecule: ribosomal RNA, 466 nt
Filed under: uncultured eukaryote
Lineage: Eukaryota
Description: bacterial SSU rRNA
Rfam family: Eukaryotic small subunit ribosomal RNA
Source: RNAcentral